Molecule: RNA transcript, 2798 nt
Organism: Cygnus olor (mute swan)
Lineage: Eukaryota; Metazoa; Chordata; Aves; Anseriformes; Anatidae
Gene: PCGF6
Gene name: polycomb group ring finger 6
Exons: 11
Source: RefSeq, a predicted model, not a curated record
GGGGGAGCGCUUUGCGGGGCGGGUGCCGCGCCGCGGGUGUCCUGGCGGACUACAACUCCCAGCACCCCCCGCGGGCAGCCAGCCGCCGGCCCCGCGUUUGCCCCCGGUGCCCGCCCCCCACCCCGAGCGAUGGAGGCAGAGGCGGACGCCGGCUCCGUGCUCUCGGGGCUGUCGGGCGGCGACGGGGCGGCCGCGGGACCCGCCGAGGAGGACCGGGAGAUGGAGGGGGCCCCCAGCUGCUCGGGGUCGCGCUCCGUCCCGUUCGAGUUCGAGCGGAGCCGCUCCGAGUCCAGCGGCGACGACGAGGAGGACGAGGAGGACGAGGAGGAGGAGGAGAUGGAGGAAGAGGAGCUCGAGGGGGACCCCGGGGCCCGCUUCGGGACGGACGACGGGGAGCUCGACUCGGACGACGACCGGGAGCGGAUGAUCAACCUGGCAGAGUUGACCCCUUACAUCCUCUGUUCCAUCUGCAAAGGUUACUUUAUUGAUGCUACAACUAUUACAGAGUGUCUGCACACCUUUUGUAAAAGCUGCAUAGUGAGACACUUCUACUAUAGCAACAGAUGUCCAAAAUGCAAUAUAGUUGUACAUCAGACACAGCCCCUUUAUAAUAUCAGGCUGGACCGGCAGCUACAAGACAUAGUCUAUAAAUUAGUUGUCAAUUUAGAGGAAAGAGAAAAAAAGCAAAUGCAUGACUUCUACAAAGAAAGAGGUUUAGAAGUGCCCAAACCAGCUGUCCCACAGCCAGUUCCAGCGAGCAGAGGAAGACCUCGAAAAGUUCUGGGUUCUGUGUUCCGGAUCCCACCAGAACUUGACAUCUCAAUACUUCUGGAAUUCAUUGGAGCUAACGAAGGCACAGGGAAUUUUAAGCCUUUGGAAAAGAAGUUUGUGCGUGUUUCAGGGGAGGCAACAAUUGGACAUGUGGAGAAGUUCCUCAGAAGAAAAAUGGAUCUGGACCCUGCUUGCCAGGUAGACAUAAUAUGUGGUGAUCACCUACUAGAACACUACCAGACGCUGAGGGAAAUCCGGCAAGUCAUAGGAGAGAGUGCUGUACAGUGUCUCCUGAGCUAGGCAGUAAGAGCAGUGAUCUGAUUUAAUUAGUGUGACCCUCUAGCGCGCAUCUGGAUGGCUUACUUGUACUGCACUAUGGCCUCGUGGUGUCUCCGCUAAACAUAACUUAGAUUGCUAAUACAUCAGAAGGUGAAAGAAUCCAAAGUCAUCAAGCUUCUUCACUGCUGUUUCUCACCAAAGAAGGCCAUCGUAUUUUCUGUGACAGGAAGCAAGUAAAAGGAACCACUGCUAACUGCUGUAUGCUUGUAAUUUAACAUCUGACUUUAUCACUGUAAAAAAAAAAAAGGCUUCUGUAGGUACAGCUAUGGAUGUUGCUAUGCUAUGCUUUGUGUUAAAAAUGACUGUCUUAAAAUUUCACUCAGCUCAGGGACUUUAAACGCUCAGAGUUGCUGCAUUUCUUUAAAUACUUCCUAAACCACAAGAUCUCACAGGGUGAGCAGCCCUUUUCCUCUAAGCUAUGGGAUUUUGCUUACUUUCUAAGUGUCUAGCUAGAACAGUGCUCUCAGGGAUGAUCUUCAGUGGGCAGUAUGAUGUAUUCUGGGGAGGAGACGGUCAUUUGGUGGAAAAAAGUGAAUGGUGAUCAUUUCUCUUCAGAUGUGAUUUAGGGAGAAGGGAACUCUUGAAAUGCAGACCAAAAUAGGUAGAAAAUAAUGUAUCACAAACAUUUUUUCCAGAAGUAGCAUUAAAUUUACUUGUUUUUCUUCAAGAAAAACAAUUUUGUUUGCACUGGAGAUAGAUUUGCUGGUAGCUUGACUUAUACCAAAUGGUGGAUCGUGCAUCUCUACUCUUAAUGGAGAUGAGCUGGCUGUAAGCUGUUUAAACUAUGCAUGGAAAAAAAACGUAGCACCUCUUUCUACCUGCUUGCUGUAUUUACAAUAAUUACUGUCAGCUUGAUUCUGCUGUCACGUAAAAUCUGUCAAAUGACUUGACUAGCAGGAAUACAGGUUCUUUAAUCUUAGCACACAUCUUUCUAGCAGCAGUGAAAAAAUAGUAGCUUUUUCCACUCUUUCUAAUGUGUAUUAGUGCAGACCAGGUUUGAGGAUGUUAAAUAACAUAAUACGUGCCUGUUACUACUACCAGAUUCCCAGAAGACAAUAGAUAUCUUUUUUUUUUUUUUAACAUAAAAAUGCUAGGGUUUUGUGAUAAUUAUGAUAUCUCAAGUUCUGUUUAAGAUUUCCACUGUUUCUUGUGCAGCAUUAAGGAUCAGAGCUUUGUAUGUUACGGUCUUGCUGCGCUCUCAGUCAUACAUGUGGGAGAGAUCUGUGAAAGCUGCUGUAAGGUACCAGGCUCCCUUGAUGGUCAAUGUAGUAAAGGGGGUGGAGAUUCCUUUGUAAGGCAUUUCAGGGUGCCUAAGUUAGCUCAAAUGCAUUUGUUCCCUGUCACAUUCACUGCUAUGCUGUCAACCUAGGAAUACUGGUAUCUUUCGUCUAAAGAAAGUUUUCAUGAAUCCUUCCUCAGGUCUUUACAAUAAAUGCUCAGUUUGCCUGUGAAGAUGACACCAUAAGAUAAAGUCUUAGUUGAAGUAAUUCCUGUGAUGCUCCUAAAAAAAAAAAAAAAAAAAAACAAAAAACAAACAUAACUACGGUUUCCUAUUUUACUUUCAAAGUUUGUACAAAAUUAGUGUUUAAAAUGCAGCAGAAAAUGGGAUUAUUUUGUAAACACUUUGUGAGUUGUGUUGAUAAGAGAUUAUAUAUUGUAACAGUAAAAUAAAGUUUAUUUUAGCCAAU